CCUACGGGAGACAGCAGUCGAGAAUCAUUCACAAUGGGGGAAACCCUGAUGGUGCGACGCCGCGUGGGGGAAUGAAGGUCUUCGGAUUGUAAACCCCUGUCAUGUGGGAGCAAAUUAAAAAGAUAGUACCACACGAGGAAGAGACGGCUAACUCUGUGCCAGCAGCCGCGGUAAUACAGAGGUCUCAAGCGUUGUUCGGAAUCACUGGGCGUAAAGCGUGCGUAGGCUGUUUCGUAAGUCGUGUGUGAAAGGCGCGGGCUCAACCCGCGGACGGCACAUGAUACUGCGAGACUAGAGUAAUGGAGGGGGAACCGGAAUUCUCGGUGUAGCAGUGAAAUGCGUAGAUAUCGAGAGGAACACUCGUGGCGAAGGCGGGUUCCUGGACAUUAACUGACGCUGAGGCACGAAGGCCAGGGGAGCGAAAGGGAUUAGAUACCCUUGUAGUC
RNAcentral lists this ribosomal RNA (446 nucleotides) under uncultured bacterium. RNAcentral's name for it is "partial 16S ribosomal RNA". It matches the Rfam family "Bacterial small subunit ribosomal RNA", at positions 338 to 795 of the family's 1533-position model. The record is from RNAcentral.